This 28-nucleotide unclassified non-coding RNA is filed under the name Mus musculus (house mouse). RNAcentral's name for it is "oocyte_clustered_small_RNA13126". Lineage: Eukaryota; Metazoa; Chordata; Mammalia; Rodentia; Muridae. The record is from RNAcentral.
UGGCCACUUCUUGAACCUGUGUGUCUGC